CACACCGCCCGUCACACCAUGGAAGUUUGUCGUACCGGAAAACGCCGAGCUAACCGCCUUUUCUUCGGAGAAGGGGAGGCAAGCGUUUAUGGUAUAACCGAUGACUGGGGUG
Molecule: ribosomal RNA, 112 nt
Filed under: uncultured bacterium
Lineage: Bacteria
Description: partial 16S ribosomal RNA
Source: RNAcentral